UGGGGAAUAUUGGACAAUGGGGGCAACCCUGAUCCAGCCAUGCCGCGUGAGUGAUGAAGGCCUUCGGGUUGUAAAGCUCUUUUGGCGGGGACGAUGAUGACGGUACCCGCAGAAUAAGCCCCGGCUAACUUCGUGCCAGCAGCCGCGGUAAGACGAAGGGGGCUAGCGUUGUUCGGAAUUACUGGGCGUAAAGCGAGUGUAGGCGGUUGCCGUAGUCAGGUGUGAAAGCCUUGAGCUCAACUCAAGAAAUGCACUUGAUACUGGGUGACUAGAGGACCGGAGAGGAUAGUGGAAUUCCCAGUGUAGUGGUGAAAUACGUAGAGAUUGGGAAGAACACCAGUGGCGAAGGCGGCUAUCUGGACGGUUACUGACGCUAAGACUCGAGAGCGUGGGGAGCAAACAGGAUUAGAUACCCCUGGUAGUCCACGCCGUAAACGAUGGGUGCUAGACGUUGGCGAGCUUGCUCGUCAGUGUCGCGGCCUAACGCGUUAAGGCACCCCCGGCCCUGGGGGAGUACGGCCCGCAAAGGGUUUG
This 534-nucleotide ribosomal RNA is filed under the name uncultured bacterium. RNAcentral's name for it is "partial 16S ribosomal RNA". It matches the Rfam family "Bacterial small subunit ribosomal RNA", at positions 355 to 897 of the family's 1533-position model. The record is from RNAcentral.